GACGAACGCUGGCGGCGUGCUUAACACAUGCAAGUCGAACGGAAAUGCCCUGCUUUUGUGGGGUGCUCGAGUGGCGAACGGGUGAGUAACACUUGAGUAACCUGCCCUUGACUUUGGGAUAACUUCAGGAAACUUGGGCUAAUACCGGAUAGUAGCUCCUGCUGCAUGGUGGGGGUUGGAAAGUUUCGGCGGUUGGGGAUGGACUCGCGGCUUAUCAGCUGGUUGGUGGGGUAGUGGCUUACCAAGGCUUUGACGGGUAGCCGGCCUGGGAGGGUGACCGGCCAAAUUGGGACGGAGAUACGGCCCAGACUAGUACGGGAGGCAAGAGUGGGGAAGAUGGCACAAUGGGAGGGAGCCUGAUGGAGCAACGCCGCGUGCGGGAUGACGGCAUUCGGGUUGGAAACCGCUUUCGCCUGUGACGAAGCGUGAGUGACGGUAAUGGGUAAAGAAGCACCGGCUAACUACGUG
RNAcentral lists this ribosomal RNA (468 nucleotides) under uncultured bacterium. RNAcentral describes it as "partial 16S ribosomal RNA". It matches the Rfam family "Bacterial small subunit ribosomal RNA", at positions 28 to 507 of the family's 1533-position model. The record is from RNAcentral.